This 457-nucleotide ribosomal RNA is filed under the name Bulla ampulla. Its description in RNAcentral is "partial 16S ribosomal RNA". It matches the Rfam family "Archaeal large subunit ribosomal RNA", at positions 1887 to 2690 of the family's 2987-position model. The record is from RNAcentral. Lineage: Eukaryota; Metazoa; Mollusca; Gastropoda; Cephalaspidea; Bullidae.
AUCGCCUGUUUAUCAAAAACAUAGCCCUAAGGAGUGGUUUAGGGUGAGGCCUGCCCAAUGAGUAAUUUUUUAAUGGCCGCGGUACUUUGACCGUGCUAAGGUAGCAUAAUCAGUUGACUUUUGAAUGAAGUCUGGAAUGAAUGGGAGAACGGAAUUAAGCUGUCUCAAUGCUCUUUAUUAUGAAUUUACUAAUUAAGUGAAAAGGCUUAAAAAAGAUAAAAGACGAGAAGACCCUGAGAGUUUUAUUAUGAUUUCGUUGGGGCGACGGAUAAUCAGUGAAACAUUCUUUAUCAACAGGACGGUUUUAUCAUGAAAGGAUAAGCUACCUCAGGGAUAACAGCAUAAUCUUUUUAGGUUUGUGACCUCGAUGUUGGACUAGGAAGCUUUAUGGCUAGCCGCCUUUAAAGGGGAUUCUGUUCGAAUUCUUACUCCUACGUGAUCUGAGUUCAGACCGGAU